AAAAAAAUUAGUUUAGUCUAACAAUAAAAGCAGCAACUACAUAAAGUAAAAUUAUACUCCCACAUCACUACGUCUACACGUAUAUACUCCUAUCCAAUACACGCCUAUGUGUAAAAGAAAAGAGAAAAAAAAAUACAAGUACUUUACUAUACUCCCUGCCACCAACACGUAUAUACUCCUUUCACAACACAUGUUUACAUAUUCAACUCCACACAUUUGCAAAUAUAAAGAGAGAACAUAUUAACACAGUACACUUCGUCUUCCCCAAAUUUCAUUCCCACAGAAACACCAUUUCUCUCCCUCUCUAAUUCUAACACCUUUUUCUCAACACAACAGCUCUCUCACUCUGUCCCAUUCUUCCACCAAAACAAAUUCUCUCUUUCUCGGAAACUCACAUAUUUCUUCUACAAAAACAGAUUCAUCACUGCAUCUUUUCUCUUCCUCACACAAAAAAAGAAACAACACAAAACUCUCAUCUCCCACGUUCCAACAUCGGCGCCGCUUCACUGCCAGCCCCCACGCUCGGCUUCUAUCUCCGAGCAGCCGCAGUCACUGGCACUGCCUCUCCGCCGUUGUCCGCCGCUGCUCCAGGCGGUCAGCUCCUUUGUCGACAGCGUCUCGUCUCACAGUCGAACUAAGAUUAGAAGAGAAAACAAGAGAACAAGCUCUACUGAUAUUAAAGUUUGCAACUUUAUCAAGAACAACCAUUCAAUAAUUUCCAGAAUUCAACAAGAGCCUAAGUUCGAUUUCGUGAACUACUAUGAUUAUGUGAAAGCAUGUCAUAGAAUUGAAUACAGAGACUUUCAGGAAUUGUGGAUAUACCUUUUGGAAAGAAGCAAAAUUUGCACAACAGAAAGUAAUCACAGCUCUCUCGGUUUCUCCUUCACAUUGUGAUGUUAAAUUAUGGAGUCAAUAAGUAUGCACAUUUUCGUAUUCAAUGGAAUGAGGAGAAUUACCUUUGUGGAAGAGAAGAAAAUUGCACUGGAAUUGUGGAAUGGAACGGCAGAUGCUAACAGAUGCAGUUGUGGGGAAGAUAUAUAAUGUAGAGAUUGAUUUGUUUGUUAGAGAGAUUUUAGGGAGUGGAGAUUGAGGAAGGAAAUGAAAUCGUGUAGAAAGAAAUUAGGAGAAGGAAUCAGUGUUGACUAAGGAUUUGACUGUUGAUUUUAAAUUAGGAAUCGGGAAUAAAUAGCUAAAAUAAAAGUAGUCCAAUUGAAUAAGUAUAAUUGGCUAGAGGGAGAACAAAUAAGAUGUCAGGCCCAAAUAUUUAAUUUAGAACAUUGAUUAAAUUGUGGUAUUUUAUUUUA
This is a non-coding RNA of Salvia hispanica, 1304 nucleotides long. The record is from RefSeq and is a predicted model, not a curated record. Lineage: Eukaryota; Viridiplantae; Streptophyta; Magnoliopsida; Lamiales; Lamiaceae.